AACUGGCCUGUGUAAGCGGAUGGGCUCGGCCUCAAGGACAGGGUGCUCGGCUGAAAAAAAAGCUAGCGGCGAUCACCGGUGCCAGGGCUCUCCAGAAACGGAGCCCAUCUAACCAAUGCCCAGCACACUCGCUCUGCUCCACACACGAGACCACCUCCGACCCGCACUAAGUUGGCCAACUGCACUCUGGAGGCGGCGGCAGCCAGCGAGGGAGAAGGGGAAGGCUGUCCCGGGACCCCGAGGAGGACUGCCCCGCCCCCGGGAACCGGGUGCGGCAUAAAACAACCCCGGCUCCGGGCCGACCCUUCCUGGCCCCUGGAGGCCCAGGCGGGGCGGCGGGGGGCGACGCGGCAGGGGUCUCCGCGCCCAGGCUCCCGCGGAGCGGCCACACGUGGAGGUUCCCAUUUUGGGGUCGCGGCCGCAGCAGCACCGGGCGGGAUGCUGUCCGCGCUGCCCGCGUACGGCCGCGGCCUCAGUGGAGACGCCUGCCCCCAGCCCCGCGGCCUCGGCCCCCGUCCGCCCUCCCUCCCUGCUCGGCGGCCUCGUACUCACGCUGACUUCAUGGCAGCAGGCUCCACGCCGCCCAAACGCGCGUGCGGGACGGCUGGCUGGCGAAGACUGCGGGACGUUAGGACCGGCAGCAAGAACUAGAACUCCGCGGCUAAGGCGCGGUGCUCUGCGAAGCCGGCGGCGACGCUAAGAGCCCAGGUGAGCUCCCGCCUGGCGCAUUUCAAACGGGCCAAUCAGCGCCCGUCCGCAGGGAGAGGCAGGACCUCCGCGGAAGUGACUGCGCUGCCGGAAGUGGCGCUUGUCUCCUAGGCGACCGACGCUGAAAGGGCCGCGGAGUCGCGUGUCAGGGCUGGAGGGAGAUCUUGAGAAACUCCACUUUGAUCUGUACUAAGAAAAAUCUUCUUAUUUAUUUUCUCAGUCUCUCGUCCCACCUGACGAGAAAUACCCACAGGUGUGGAGGGGCUGGCCCCCUUCACCUGGGUCUCGACUCCUGUUUUGUUCUACGGUUCCCAUUGCAGUGCUGUGAUCCCCCAGAAGCUCAGGAAAACAACUGACUUCCUGGUGUUGCCAACAGGCAGAGAGGAGAUGCAGCCAGUCCUUACCCUGUAGAAGAUGGGGAGGGAGUCCCAGGUGUACGGAUAAGCAAAGGCGAGGACACGAAUCACCUUACAGAGUCUGGGCUUCUGGAUUUCAAGAAACCUAAAUCAGGGAAGGAAAGUGGGGAGGAAAUGGAAUGAAAAGAGUAUCAGCAAAUUGCAUACGCACAUGCAUGCACACCGAGGGCCUGGUCAUCAACAGAGGACAAGCAUUUUUCUACAAGCUCCUGUGGCCAGCAGCUUCUCCACCAGCCUCGUCCAUUCCUCCCACCCCAAUGGAAGUGACAAAACUUCAGAUGCAAAAAGAUCUCCAGGGACACCAUCUCCUGACCAUGGGAAGCAGUGGUGUCCAGACUAAGCCAGAAAGGAGGCGCUGGGCAGAAACCCUUCAAGGGCCAAGUUAUGUAACUGCCAAAGAACCUUUUAAAACUCUAGUUGCUACAGGGACAGGGAACGGGUAGGGGGAAUCAGGGGAUCCACUGCCACAGACUCUUGGGGGGCACACUCUGCAAAGGCUGAGAUGCACCCAUCUAGUUGGAGCCCAGGUAUUAUCAUGCAGGAGACCUGGGUUCAAGUAGGUGUUUGACCCUUGGAGAGCUUUCUGGAAUAUUUAUACCACACACAGGGAUACUUGGCUUGGGAAAACUAAAUAAACGUGAGGUCUUUC
RNAcentral lists this non-coding RNA (1773 nucleotides) under Pan troglodytes (chimpanzee). Lineage: Eukaryota; Metazoa; Chordata; Mammalia; Primates; Hominidae. The record is from RNAcentral.